AAAGCGGAGGAAAAGAAAGUAACAAGGAUUCCCCUAGUAACGGCGAGUGAAGUGGGAAAAGCUCAACUUUGAAAUCUGGCACCUUCGGUGUCCGAAUUGUAGUCUCAAGAAGUGUUUUCUGUGCCGGUCCAUGUAUGAGUCUGUUGGAACACAGCGUCAUAGAGGGUGACAACCCCGUUCAUGACAUGGAUACCGGUGCUCUGUGAUACACUCUCGAAGAGUCGAGUUGUUUGGGAAUGCAGCUCAAAUUGGGUGGUAAAUUCCAUCUAAAGCUAAAUAUUGGCGAGAGACCGAUAGCGAACAAGUACCGUGAGGGAAAGAUGAAAAGCACUUUGGAAAGAGAGUUAACAGUACGUGAAAUUGUUGAAAGGGAAACGAUUGAAGUCAGACGUGCGUGAUGCGGUUCAGCUCUGGUUCGCCAGAGUGUAUUCCGUAUCUUUGCAGGCCAACAUCAGUUUCGAUAGUCGGAUAAAGAUUAGUUGAAUGUGGCACCUUCGGGUGUGUUAUAGCUUCUAAUUGAAUACGAUUGUUGGGACUGAGGAACGCAGCGCGCCGCAAGGCAAAGGUUCCGACCUUUUCGCGCUUAGGAUGUUGGUGAAAUGGCUUUAAACGACCCGUCUUGAA
This 624-nucleotide ribosomal RNA is filed under the name Cystobasidium sp. Bq26. RNAcentral's name for it is "eukaryotic LSU rRNA". It matches the Rfam family "Eukaryotic large subunit ribosomal RNA", at positions 47 to 658 of the family's 3401-position model. Lineage: Eukaryota; Fungi; Basidiomycota; Cystobasidiomycetes; Cystobasidiales; Cystobasidiaceae. The record is from RNAcentral.